AAAUAUGUUGUGUACAUCUUGUCUCUGAAAUCUGUGUUCUAAAUAGAGAGAAAGGAAAAGAGACAAGAUGAAAAAAAAGAGAAAAUUCAGAAAAAUACAAAAAUAAAAAAAAAUUGUGAAUAAUGGAGUCAAGAAGAGGAUUGAAUUAGAGGUUUGGGUGUGUUUGAAUGUGUUACACUUGUUCCCCAUUGCUCCUCUAUUCCUUUUGGUUUGUAGCUUCUCAUCCAUAUUUAUCCUCCCUUGUCCUUGGC
RNAcentral lists this long non-coding RNA (251 nucleotides) under Vigna radiata. Its description in RNAcentral is "long non-coding RNA (VRAD_LNC001163)". Lineage: Eukaryota; Viridiplantae; Streptophyta; Magnoliopsida; Fabales; Fabaceae. The record is from RNAcentral.